CACACCCUGACCUAUGAGUGUUGAAUGUAAGAUUUUUUUUUUGUUCAAGCUAACGCGUAAACACUCCGCCUGGGUAGUACGAUCGNGAUUUAAUGCGUAACUACGCGCAAACCUUACCACUGCUUGUUUGGAAUUUAAGUGUGUUUUUGUAUAUGGGUUUUAAUCAGGUGU
RNAcentral lists this ribosomal RNA (171 nucleotides) under uncultured bacterium. Its description in RNAcentral is "partial 16S ribosomal RNA". The record is from RNAcentral.